AUUUGGCGUCAAUAGCCAAGAAGGCAUCUUCUAAAGCCUUCUGUAGCUUGCCUUCCUUGUAGGCCUUCUGAUCUUUGAUGAUAUCAGGAAGAUAUUUGGCACAGUACAAGGCAACUUCCUCCCCUCCAUGUCCAUCGUAGACAGAAAACAUGGCUGUCUCACUGUCCAGCUCAGGAAUACAGUUGUGAGCAUCCUCCAUGGAGACGCGCCAGCCUUGCAUGGCGGAGAAGCCGUAGGGCAGCGGCAGGCGCGGG
RNAcentral lists this unclassified non-coding RNA (254 nucleotides) under Hevea brasiliensis (rubber tree). Lineage: Eukaryota; Viridiplantae; Streptophyta; Magnoliopsida; Malpighiales; Euphorbiaceae. The record is from RNAcentral.